CGCAGGGAACCUCGAGACUAAAUUGCUGCCCCUGGUUAAGGAGGGGGGUGUGGAUGCCCACCUCACUGCCUUUGAGCAGGCUGGCGAUUUGAACCAAGGGGACCCUGCGGAAAAGCCCCGGUGUCUAGCUCCCUUGCUGGGUCCCAAGGCCAUAGACUCCGUCAGCCAGGUGGUUGGGGAUGUGGACAGGCUCCCACUCCUGACCCCAACCUAUAUGUCUGUGUGGAGUUUCCUGGGGCCAGGCCCCCGGACCUCCAGUGGGAGUAGAAGGUGAUGGUCAAUGGGGAGACAUUCUUGGGGUGGCCAAAGGGCAUGGGCUGCAUAAACCUUCCCACAUGCGGCCUGCGAGUGCUAUCGACCACCCCUGACCUAAGGGAGGGCGUGAAACUGGAAGGGCCUGGUGUAACUCCUACCAAGGAAUGGGAGAGAUGCUGGGGCAUCCAUGGGAACGUUGGUGGCUUCGAACUUCCCCAGGUCACCGGCUAAAGUGACCCCGCUCAGUUCGAUCUCGAAGGGGGAGAGAUGUGACGAAGUGGGACUGUUCUUAAUGUUUCCUCUGAAUAGUGUGGGGGUGCCUCAGUUUCCCCUAGGCAGUUCUUAAGUAUCUAGGGGGUGGGGUAAGGGUGUAUGAUCAUUGCAGAGCCCUAGAGGGCAGGUGUGUGCAAGGGUCUGGACACAGACAAUGGCCGACAUCCUGUUUCCUGGCAACUGAUGGCCUGGGCCCUUCCCCCCCUGCAAGGUGAGAGCUGAAGGGUUGGAGAACAAAGGAAUCAGGUGACCACCUGGCCCAGGAAAGGAACAAAGCCCAGAGGAGGAGGGGCUGGAGGGAGUUUCAGUUGGGGGCUGGCUGGGACAUGGAGUGAAGGGCAGACAUGGUUGUCUGACUCACUGCCCCCCAAAAUGGACCCAGCUGAGGGGUCCCGUUCUCUGCACCUGCAAGCUCUGUUUUAGACCAUGUUCCUGUCGUCUAAUAAACCUUCUGUUUUACUGGCUGGCUGAGAGUCCCGUCUGACUGCGGAGUUGGGGGGCAGGACCCUCUGGCUUCCCCAGGAGCCCCGCCUGAGCGGACUCGCUGGAGGGAAGCGCACGGAGGGGCAGAGGAUGCUGAAUGCUCCGAGGUCAGACCCAGGAAGGUGGAAGCUGUGUGAGCUGCGUGUCCUGAAGACAGGCUGCUCACAGAAAGGCGACUGCCCCAGAGUCCUGACUGGCUUCAUGGGGAGCAGUUCCAGAACAUCGCCCAGGGACUCC
Caretta caretta (loggerhead turtle) is the source of this 1248-nucleotide non-coding RNA. The record is from RefSeq and is a predicted model, not a curated record. Lineage: Eukaryota; Metazoa; Chordata; Testudines; Cheloniidae.